Molecule: ribosomal RNA, 408 nt
Filed under: uncultured bacterium
Lineage: Bacteria
Description: partial 16S ribosomal RNA
Rfam family: Bacterial small subunit ribosomal RNA
Source: RNAcentral
GACGAACGCUGGCGGCGUGCUUAACACAUGCAAGUCGAACGAAGUGGCGAACGGGUGAGUAACGCGUAAUCAACCUGCCCUUCAGAGGGGGACAAAAGUUGGAAACGACUGCUAAUACCGCAUACUGAAGGAGGGGAGUGCGUAGGAUUAGUUAGUUGGAGGGGUAACGGCCCACCAAGGCGAUGCUAAGGAGCCGGUCUGAGAGGAGGAACGGCCACCUGUGGACUGUGACACGGCCCAGACUCCUACGGGAGUCAGCAGUGGGGAAUCUUCCGCAAUGGACGAAAGUCUGACGGAGCAACGCCGCGUGAGUGAUGACGGCCUUCGGGUUGUAAAGCUCUGUUAAUCGGGACGCGGUACCGGAAUAGAAAGCCACGGCUAACUACGUGCCAGCAGCCGCGGUAAUAC